This 660-nucleotide ribosomal RNA is filed under the name Triticum aestivum (bread wheat). RNAcentral's name for it is "partial small subunit ribosomal RNA". The record is from RNAcentral. Lineage: Eukaryota; Viridiplantae; Streptophyta; Magnoliopsida; Poales; Poaceae.
AUGCCGCCACAUUUUCCCAGCAAUCCUGACCACGGGCCACACGUCGUGAGGCCGUUCCACAGGCACAAAUCGAUCCACCGGAUCCUGGGCGGAGGGAAAGCUGCGGACAUUCUGCUGUGGAAGAACAGGAAAGUGUCUGCUGGGGUUCUCGCUGGGGCCACGUUGACAUGGUUCCUGUUCGACGUGGUUGAAUACAAUGCAGUUCCGCUCCUUUGCCAGAUCGCCAUCUUCGCUAUGCUUGCCAUCUUCAUUGCCUCAAAUGCUGCGCCGCUCUUCGACAGGGCCCCGCCAAAGAUACCACAAGUCGUCGUCUCUGAACACGCCUUCAGAGAAAUGGCCAUGACCAUUCACCACAAACUGGAAUAUGCUGCAUCUCUUCUUUAUGAUAUCGCAUGUGGAAAGGAUCUGAAGAAAUUUCUCAUGGUGGUAGGAUCCCUGCUGUUAUUGUCAGUGAUUGGAGGUUCUUGCAGCUUCACAAGCCUACUCUACCUUGGAUUCUUGUGUGCCCACACUUUGCCAGUGUUGUACCAACAUUACGAGACAGAAGUGGACCAUCUCGUUGCAAGGGGUGGCCAAGACAUCAAGAAGUUCUAUGAGAAGGUUGAUUCCAAUUUGCUCAACAAAAUACCAAGAGGCCCUGUCAAGACGAAAUUCAGAUAA